CCCUUAGAUGUCCUGGGCCGCACGCGUGCUACACUGACGCCUACAGCGAGUACUUCCCAGCCCCGAGAGGUGGCAGGUAAUCAGCAAUAGGCGUCGUGAUGGGGAUAGAUCUUUGGAAUUAUGGAUCUUGAACGAGGAAUGCCUAGUAAGCGCAGGUCAUUAGCCUGCGCUGAUUAAGUCCCUGCCCUUUGUACACACCGCCCGUCGCUCCUACCGAUUUCGAGUGGUCCGGUGAAUCUUUCGGAUUGGCGCGCACCCCGGUGCCGCCGAGAAGUUGGCUAAACCUUACCAUUUAGAGGAAGGUGAAGUCGUANCA
This 316-nucleotide ribosomal RNA is filed under the name uncultured eukaryote. RNAcentral's name for it is "partial 18S ribosomal RNA". It matches the Rfam family "Eukaryotic small subunit ribosomal RNA", at positions 1470 to 1796 of the family's 1831-position model. The record is from RNAcentral.